GUGCAGAGUCUGGUGAGCAUUUCUAUUUAUUUGAUUAAAUCAUUGACACUGAUAUACUCAAAGUCUGACACUUUUUAUCCUUUUGUGCUACUCAGAGAGAAGUUAUAAAAAGUCAAAAAAGCAUAAGAAGAAAAGUAAGAAGAGGAGACAUAAAUCUGACUCUCCAGAAUCCGAUGCUGAGCGAGAGAAGGAUAAAAAAGAAAAAGAUCGGGAAAGUGAAAAAGACAGAACUAGACAAAGAUCAGAAUCAAAACACAAAUCGCCUAAGAAAAAGACUGGAAAGGAUUCUGUAA
This 293-nucleotide non-coding RNA is filed under the name Pan troglodytes (chimpanzee). Lineage: Eukaryota; Metazoa; Chordata; Mammalia; Primates; Hominidae. The record is from RNAcentral. RNAcentral also lists the same sequence under 1 other name.